ACAGUAGAGAGCAAUCAGGGUGCUGUAAGCUCAUGCUCUCCUUUAGUGGGACACAGCUCCCUCGGAUAUCAGACACAAACAAGCUCUAUGUCUUCCUGUGUGUGGUUAUAUGGCUAGAAACAGGCACUUUAAGGCAAUGUCCUGGAAUAGUAUCAUCGUUGUCAUUUCUGUAGAUUACCAUACUAGUGACAAUUUCUCAAGGCAGUAUUUUUAAGGCUUUUGUGUUUGACCCUUUUUCUGCAUCUCAACUUCUAGAAAAAUAUAUCUGUCAUCUGGACAAAGGAGUGAGCCUUUCUCAGAGGAAGAGGUUGAUCGCUGCUUUCUGUUGUGCAGUCGUUGUUAGACAUGAUACGGAUACUGGCCUGAGCUGCAAUGGUUGGGGACAGAUCCCAAAAGAUUGUCUCCAUCCAUUGGAUACUGCUAAGAAGAUCAUUAGGAACAAACUGGAACUGUCAUAACACCAGCAAAACGACGUGUUUCGGGAUACUUCAAAUCAGAAGCGCUUUC
This 507-nucleotide long non-coding RNA is filed under the name Dromaius novaehollandiae (emu). RNAcentral describes it as "lncRNA (ENSDNVG00000002621.1)". The record is from RNAcentral. Lineage: Eukaryota; Metazoa; Chordata; Aves; Casuariiformes; Dromaiidae.